CCUACGGGGGGCAGCAGUGGGGAAUAUUGGACAAUGGGGGCAACCCUGAUCCAGCCAUGCCGCGUGUGUGAAGAAGGCCCUCGGGUUGUAAAGCACGUUCAGUGAGGAAGAACGCCUGGUGGUUAAUACCCAUCAGGAAAGACAUCACUCACAGAAGAAGCACCGGCUAACUCCGUGCCAGCAGCCGCGGUAAUACGGAGGGUGCGAGCGUUAAUCGGAAUUACUGGGCGUAAAGCGCGCGUAGGUGGCUUGAUAAGCCGGUUGUGAAAGCCCCGGGCUCAACCUGGGAACGGCAUCCGGAACUGUCAAGCUAGAGUGCAGGAGAGGUAGGUGGAAUUCCCGGUGUAGCGGUGAAAUGCGUAGAGAUCGGGAGGAAUACCAGUGGCGAAGGCGGCCUUCUGGACUGACACUGACACUGAGGUGCGAAAGUGUGGGUAGCAAACAGGAUUAGAUACACUAGUAGUC
RNAcentral lists this ribosomal RNA (465 nucleotides) under Vreelandella stevensii. RNAcentral's name for it is "partial 16S ribosomal RNA". It matches the Rfam family "Bacterial small subunit ribosomal RNA", at positions 338 to 795 of the family's 1533-position model. Lineage: Bacteria; Pseudomonadati; Pseudomonadota; Gammaproteobacteria; Oceanospirillales; Halomonadaceae. The record is from RNAcentral.